RNAcentral lists this ribosomal RNA (116 nucleotides) under Salmonella enterica subsp. enterica. RNAcentral's name for it is "partial 16S ribosomal RNA". It matches the Rfam family "Bacterial small subunit ribosomal RNA", at positions 1 to 109 of the family's 1533-position model. The record is from RNAcentral. Lineage: Bacteria; Pseudomonadati; Pseudomonadota; Gammaproteobacteria; Enterobacterales; Enterobacteriaceae.
UUAAAUUGAAGAGUUUGAUCAUGGCUCAGAUUGAACGCUGGCGGCAGGCCUAACACAUGCAAGUCGAACGGUAGCACAGAGAGCUUGCUCUCGGGUGACGAGUGGCGGACGGGUGA